GACGAACGCUGGCGGCGUGCUUAACACAUGCAAGUCGAACGGACAGGCCCUGCUUUUGCGGGGUGCUCGAGUGGCGAACGGGUGAGUAACACGUGAGUAACCUGCCCUUGACUUUGGGAUAACUUCAGGAAACAGGGGCUAAUACCGGAUAGGAGCUCCUGCUGCACGGUGGGGGUUGGAAAGAUUCGGCGGUUGGGGAUGGACUCGCGGCUUAUCAGCUUGUUGGGGGGGUAGUGGAUUACCAAGGCUUUGACGGGUAGCCGGCCUGAGAGGGUUAACGGCCACAUUGGGACUGAGAUACGGCGCAGAAUCCUACGGGAGGCAGCAGUGGGGAAUAUUGCACAAUGGGCGGGAGCCUGAUGCAGCAACGCCGCGUGCGUGAUGACGGCCUACGGGUUGUAAACCGCUGUCGCCUGUGACGAAGCGUGAGUGACGGUAAUGGGUAAAGAAGCACCGGCUAACUACGUG
Molecule: ribosomal RNA, 468 nt
Filed under: uncultured bacterium
Lineage: Bacteria
Description: partial 16S ribosomal RNA
Rfam family: Bacterial small subunit ribosomal RNA
Source: RNAcentral